This is a long non-coding RNA of Talpa occidentalis (Iberian mole), 1151 nucleotides long. RefSeq lists it as uncharacterized. The record is from RefSeq and is a predicted model, not a curated record. The transcript is spliced from 3 exons. Lineage: Eukaryota; Metazoa; Chordata; Mammalia; Eulipotyphla; Talpidae.
UGUUGGAAAUUAAGCUGUAGUGUUUACGGGACUUAAUUAACAAAAUCACUCAUCAUCUCAGGAACUCACUAUCUGGGCCUGACAGCAUUGGAAAUAAAUUAUCCCAGCGCCCAGUGAGGUGAUCCUCAAUCCAGUCUGGGGUCCUCGCUUGCCCCAGACCCCUGGCCCCCGUCUGGAGCCUCCCCUCUACCUCCAGUCCCCAGGAGCCCUUGCAAUUAAUAGCUAAUUAACAAACAAAACAAACCUACCAGGUGGAACAGCCGAAAGACAUUCUCAGCCCACAAAAGCAAGUAAUUAUUUGGUGUGGGCAGGUCUGGAAAAAAUCACUUAAGAGAUAAAUCACUGACUCUCCCCCAUCUUGAGGGGCUGAUAGGAUGAAGGAAGACUCCGUGAGAUCAGGAAGCUGAUUUAAAGGAAAAAUGAAGCCUCGCCCAUUUCCUCCACAGCGAAUCACCAACCAAAACGCUGCAAGCAUCCACUGCAGCCUGGAAAUCAAGUCUCAUCAUGGUCCAAAGUGAGGUCCCCGUGGGUCAGGGGUUCCCCUGAAUGUUCCAGGGCAACUGUGAGGACUGAAUGAGUAACAUAAGCAAACGACUCAGCACAGCCCCCAGCACAACGCCUAGCAUUUAGCAGGAACACAAUCGAUGUUUUAUCUGAAGAAAUGAAAGUCACUUCUACUUAUGUUAAAGUGGACUCCAUUCUCUCUGAAGGGCUCUUGCAGUAUUGCAAAACUCCAGCGAGUCAAGUCCCAAGGUUGCCAGUCCUGGGUCCAGAGCAGGAUCCUGAACAGACAGCAAGUGUCCUUCCCAACCCACGCGAGAGGCACCUCGAGAGCAGCCUUGGGGAGCAGAAAGUGGGUCUCCCGCUCUGCCGCAAGCACCCUAGCCAAGAGCCUGGUAACUUGGUGAGACUCAUGCCACCAAGAGGGCCAAAAGUCCAAGAGAAGGAGGACAAGCCAGGCCUCCGAGGUUCCUGCCAGAGAGCCAGGUGAAGGCCGCCAUGGCCUGGCACUCAUGCCCCCCGACCUGCCAUCUGGCAGAAAAGCAAGGAAUCGCCCCCGGCAGCCUGGCAACAUAAAGAGGUCUGUUCCCUCCCAUUUGAAGGCUCUUGUUCAUAGGACAAGACGUCUAUUAAACUGGCAGCCUCGCCAC